ACACGACUACAUUAGAUACCCCGGUAGUCCUAGCCGUAAACGAUACUCGCUAGGUGUCGGCCACGGUGCGACCGUUGUCGGUGCCGUAGGGAAGCCGUGAAGCGAGCCACCUGGGGAGUACGUCCGCAAGGAUGAAACUUAAAGGAAUUGGGCGGGGGAGCACCGCAACGGGAGGAGCGUGCGGUUUAAUUGGAUUCAACGCCGAAAAACUCACCAGCAGCGACUGUUACAUGAAAGUCAGGUUGAUGACCUUACUAGAUUUUCAG
This 266-nucleotide ribosomal RNA is filed under the name uncultured archaeon. Its description in RNAcentral is "partial 16S ribosomal RNA". It matches the Rfam family "Archaeal small subunit ribosomal RNA", at positions 717 to 982 of the family's 1478-position model. The record is from RNAcentral.